RNAcentral lists this long non-coding RNA (23632 nucleotides) under Gossypium barbadense (sea-island cotton). RNAcentral describes it as "long non-coding RNA (GBAR_LNC021904)". The record is from RNAcentral. Lineage: Eukaryota; Viridiplantae; Streptophyta; Magnoliopsida; Malvales; Malvaceae.
UUUCUCUUUUCCUUGGGGUUGACCUUUUAUCACUCUCUUUCGCCUCAAUUUUUCAAGCUCUUAUAGCAUUCUCAAUCAUUUCACCUUUCAUAUUAUGUUAGAAAAGUUUUUUUUGCGCUUCCUAACAUAUGCGUAAUGAACGGGGCCUUCAGCGUAUUGAUGAAGAGCAUUGUCGUCUCUUUCUCCAAGAGGGGUGGCUGAACUAGGACUGCAACCUCCCUCCACCUUUGUGCAUACUGCCUAAAACUUUCGCUCGAUUUCUUUUCCAAAUUUUGCAAGGUGAUUCUAUCGGGAACCACAUGCGUUACAUAACCGUAUUGUUUCAUGAAUGCAUGUGCUAGGUCCCUUCAUGAACCAAUCUCGUUACGGCUCAACUGAUUGUACCAUUUGGACGCUGCCCCUACCAAACUGUCUUGGAAGCAGUGUAUUAGCAGCUGAUCAUUGUUAGUGUAGCCAGUCAUUCUUCUACAGAACAUGGUGAUAUGGGCUUCGGGACAGCUAGUUCCAUUUUAUUGUUCAAAUUCAGGCAUCUUAAACUUGUAAGGGAGUACUAAAUCUGAAACCAAGCUCAGAUCUUUUGCAUCGAUUCCAUGGUGACUGUCGGCGUUUUCCAAGGCUUUCAAUUUUUCCUCCAACCAUUUACACCUAUCCUCCCAUUGUUUUGACAAUUCGACGUUUGCCUUCUCUUUUUCAACCAUUUCAUCGAAAUCAGGAAUAACAAGAUUCACUGGGUUAUCUCUAGGAUUAAAACCUGAUCCAGCCUCAGUCUGAAUCUGCGCAUGCAGAGGCAUAAAGCCUAGAGGAUAGAUAGGUCUAUCAUUGUCUUCUCCUUCAUCAUUAACCAUAGGAUAUUUCCCCUUAUUAAUUCCUUUUAGUAUUGCGUCAGCUCAGUCAUCACGUCAUUUUGAGACUCCCGCAUCCUUUCUCUCAUGUCCUGUUGAAUUUUUUCCAAUUGCUCCUUCAUUUGUUUCUGUAGCUGAUCUUGCAUUUCUUUUUGCAUUUGCUCCAAUUUCUCUAAUCUUUGGUCCAUUUCCUUACUCUUUCGACGAGUACCGUAUUGAUGCUUAAUGGGUGAGCUUUUGUCGGUUUCCAGAUUAGGUGAAAUAAAUUUACUCAAUCAGACUCUUUCAAUGGACUUUGAUGCAUACGAUGCAGAUGUAUGAAAUGCAUGCCUAAAGAGACGUUGAUUCUGAUUCAAUUACAUUUAGGAAACUUUUCUAGAAAGUAAAUUCCUUUACAUAAAACAGAUACAUGUACGGCCUCACCCUCAUAUUCUAAGAAACAACAUCGAUAUUUUUCUUCAUCCGCAUGUUGGAGAUAAUCUCGCCAAUUUCUAAUAGAUGCCACUCCUAGCUCUUUGUCUCGAUCUUGGUCGCGAUCCAUCACCUACCCAUCUUCAUAAGGCUCGUCAGCUUCUUUAAGGGAGUUUGAACGUCGAAGGCUCUUAGACAAUCGCCUUGAAUCCUCAGGCCACGAAGUAAGGUCACGAACUCUUCCAUGUGUUUUUCAGAAUAUAUUAAGGUAGCCGCAUUAUUUUCCACUUUAUCAAGGAAUCCGUAUUCCAUGACAAGCUUUCUAAUUUAGUAAUUGGACUUGAAUCAAUAUCUCUUUCCUAAGAUGCAAAUGCAAUGCAAUCACAAUCAAAACACAACAAAAGGGGUUAGUACAAAACAGAAGUAAACAAGGAAAACAGAAAGUACCUAAUCAGGUAACCACUAGGGAUUUGGAGUGGCUUUACCUAGGUUAAGUUCCUAAGUCCACUAUAUGAGGUUUGGUUCUAAAGUCAAGGUACCCGAACCAGCAGAUUCCUCAAUCCUCACCCAUUAUAGGCUCAUACACACCGAGUUCGAUUCAGGGAAAUACAUUUCCCUAUGGCUGCACGAAGAUGAAAAUCUCACGAAGACGAAAAUCUCACGAAGACAUAGGUACGGAUGUAUUCCGAAAGUGAUUUACUAUCCUGCACGGAGGUGAAAACCUCACGAAGGAGUAGCUUCUCACUUCCACUUAGAGGGGUAAGACCAAAAUAGCCUUUAUGCAAUAUGAUGCCAAAGUAUAAAACACAAUUUACAAUAAACCUACAAACACAUGCAAAGAGAGGAUCGUAAUUUUUCAAAUCGACUUUUCAAUUUUCGAUAAUAAGAUAGAAAACAAUCAAUUUACGGCUUGACUCUAUAUACUCCCCAGUGGAGUUACCAAGCUGUCGAAACCACUUUUCAAGUUUGAAAAAAAUGGGGAUCGGCUUUUGAAAAUAAAAUAGGAGUCACCACCGAUCUUUUUUAAAGUGUGAUCGGUUCACCAUUAAAAAUAAAUUUUAGGUCUGCGAGAUUUGAGAAAAUAGGUCCGGGAGUCGGUUACGCACGAGGAAGGGUUAGCACCCUCGUAACGCCCAAAAUUGGUACCGAAUCGAUUGUUAAUGCCUUAAUGUCAAAAUUUUGAAAAGAUUUUAAAAUACGAUCCUUUUAUUUUGAAUAAAAUGAAUUGGAGGAUAAAGCUCAUUUAUUUUAAAGAAAUAGAUUGUCAUACUCAGUAAGUUAAGUGCAACAUUUCGAAUCCUCAAAAUUAAGUUUGACUUUUAAAACCUAUGCACUUUGAGAAGGAUAUUUGAUUAUUUGGGUCAAAUGAGAAAAUCAAACCCAGUAAGUUAGGAUUCGAUUUCACAAAAUUCUUAAAUAUCGAACAUUGCCUUUAUUUUCAUUCGCUGGAAAAAUCCUCGUCUCGAGAAAAUAAUGUGUCAUAUCCAAUGCGUUAGGACACCACGUAUCGAAUUCUCGGGAAUGAGCCUUUUAUGUUUUGAUUAAAGCAUAUUCUCGAUUAUUUAGAUUCGACGAAGAGAAUUGGAACCCAAUAUGUUAGGGCUCAAUUCUCGCAGAUUCCAAAUGUCGAGUAUUUGCUUUAUUUUGAAAGUUUUUUUUGAAUAAAACGAUUUUGAUGUUUAAACGAUAUUAGACGUAAUCUUUUGAACGAAAAAAAAUGAUUGAAUAAUAAUGUACAACACGAAAAGAUAACUCAUAAUCCUAAAAAGCAUGCUAAUGAACUCGUGUAAUCUAUCAACAUAAACGAAAUGAUAUAAUGUACAUAACCUCCAUAAUCACAUAUCUCAAACCAUGCAAACAUAAUUACCAACAUUAAAAAACAUAACAUUGACAAUUAAUCCUUAAGUACCAAAAAACAAGAGGAUAAAUGAUAAUCAAUAAAUUACGAACAUCGAAAUUUAAAAGAAAUAUGUAUAUGAACUUGUAUUAGAUUCCAAAUAGAGUUAAUAAAACAUACUCUAUAUAAGUAAUAGUUUUAAGGUCUACAAAAAUAAUGUAUGUGUAUAUAAAAAUGAAUUCGAAAGAAAAUAUAUAAGAAAAUCUAAAGGGGAAAAUUAAAGGUAAUAACUAGAAUAGUAUGAAAUCAAUGAUAUAUAUAUAAUAAAAAUAAUUUAAUAUAAAUUGUAUACAUGAAAAUAUAAAAAUAUUAAAUAAGGAUACUAUCAUAUAAAUCUUUGAAGAUGAAAUGUAUAAAAGUGGCCUUUUUAAAAAUACAUUAUAAGAUAGAAGUUAUUAAAAUAUAUUGUAUUGGAUUAAACAAUGAAAUAAUUCAUCACCAACUUUAAAUAAUAAUGUAUGAUAAUAAAAUAAAGAAUUUAAAAAAACAUCGCAUAAUAAAGUGAUAUAUAUAAAAAUUAAGUAACCGAAAAUGUAACUAAGUAUGAUAAUAAUGUUAAUAACAAUAACAAAUAAUAAUAAAAAAUUAGUAUUAAACUAAUUAAUAAAAAAAUGGACUAAUUUGGAAUUAAAACAGAAAUCUAGGAAUAAAUCUGAAAUAAAUAAAAAAGAAAGGACUAAACUGAAGCGCGCGAAUAACACGCGGGAUCAAAAGGGGAAAUAAUCCCAACACCUCGAAACGCAGCACUAUGAGAAAGACUAGAGUGAAACAACAAUGAAAUAUGCGGGGAAAAUUUAAAAAAUAAAGGAAAAUCGGAUUAAAACACUGAAACAAAACCGGAGGUCCGAUGGCACAAAUAUUCCCUCCAAGACCAAAGCAUGUGGGUCUGGCCACGUCCGGAUCGGGUCAUCAGGCACGAGCCAAUACGGCGUCGUUUUGAGGCCACUGAAGCAGGCCUUAAACGGCGUCGUUUUUCACACAAUAAAUAUCCUACUUUAACCCUAAAAUCAGCAGUGAACAGCCUUAAACAGAUUAAAAAAACUAAACGUUUCUCCCCCCAUUCCGAAAUCGCGCCGCUCAAAAAAAAUUGGCCCAGAGGCCUUUGAACCGUCGUCCGACUCCGAUUGCGAUGGAGCAGACGAAGAUCUGGCCAAACAGGUAAAACCCCUCGCCCUCUCACCUUAUUUUCACUCGAUUAAUAGAACAGAAAAUGAAAAGUCUAGAGAAAAAAAAAACGGAAGAAAGAAAGAAAGGGAAUCAAGUCACCUUUCAAAAAACUCUUUGUUCUUCUCUUUUUUCUUUUUUUUUUUGUACAUUGAUAUUCUGUAAUAAAAAAAAGGGUCCUUUUACAUUGUUUUUCUCCCUUUUUAUAGCCAGAGGUAAAAUGAAAAUACAAAUACAAUCAUCAUAAAAAUUCUAAUUUAUUUUUGCUAUUACUUUUUUUUCUAUUGCCUAUUUUCUUUGCUGUGUUUUCUGUUAUUGUUGCGUUCGUUGUCGUCUGCUUGUUUUGCAGGUAUCGUACGAGGACGUCGCACGGCUCGGCGCGGCGUAUGGACGGAGGUGUGCGGGCGUGCGUGUACGGAGGCUCGUGCGUGAGGAGCAGCUUGGCAACGGCAGCUUAGUUUGCUGCCCAGGGUUUCAGAUUUCCCCAUGUUAGGCUAAUUUGGGCUUGUAUUUUUUAUUUGGGCCUGGGCUGGUAAUUUGGGGCUGGGGUUAAUGGGUUUAGUUUACUGGGCCUUGUAACUAGACUAUCUUGGACUGUUAUUAAUUUGUUUUGUUUAUAUUUUUAUUAUGGGCCAGGCAAAUUGGGUUAUUACAGUGUCGAUCACCUGUUUGUUGGAUAGAAUUGAGUGAAAGAAGAAUGAUCGGGUCGGAAUUAAUUCAAGAAACAGAAGACAACUUUUGAUAGACAUAAAUCAUAUACAGAUUUGAAACAUUGAGAUAUUGAAUAUUCUGUUGGCGAUAAAGUAUUUCUUCAAGUUUCGCCUUGGAAGAAAAUUUUGAGAUUUGGUCGAAAAAGGAAACUGAGUCCUCGUUUAUUGGACCGUAUGAGAUCACAGAAAGAGUGGGACCAGUUGUGUAUCAUUUAGCUUUGCCUGCGGAACUACAAAAAAUUCAUGAUGUUUUUUACGUUUCAAUACCUAGAAGAUAUCGAUCAGAUCCAUUUCAUGUUAUUUCGACAGAAGAUAUUAAAAUUCAACCUGGUUUGUCAUAUUAAGAAGAACCGAUUGAGAUUUUGGCACGUGAGGUGAAAGAAUUACGUAAUAAGCGAGUUCUGUUAAUGAAAGUGUUUUGGCGUAGUCAUAGUGUUGAAAAAGCGACUUGGGAACCGGAAGAGACUAUGAGAUCUGAGUACCCCCACCUCUUUUCAGGUAAAUUUCAGGGACAAAAUUUAAUUAGGGGGAGAAUUGUAACAACCCGAUAGUUUGGGUUGUCGAAAAGUACAAUUUUGGGACACUAUUUUCGUAAAUCGAACUCGUAAAAAUUUAUUAAAAAUAUUUUCGAAGUUAGUUGUGUAGUUAAUUAGGUUUUAGUUAAGUGAAUUUGCAUGAAUUAAGAGUAAUUAUGUAUAAGGACUAAAUUGCAUAUAGGGUGAAAGUUGAAUUAUAGAUUAAAGAAUAAUUAAAGGGACUAAAAAAGUAAUUAUGCCAUUGUUCUUUAAUGAGGCAGUAUAACGUGUAAAAUUAUUAUAUAUAUUAUGAAUAAAUUAAAGUUAAAAUAUAUAUUAUAAUAUGUUUUACUUAAUAUUUAAGUAAAUAUAUAUUAUAGUAAUAAAAGAAAUAAAGAAAGACAGAAGCAAAACGAAACAGAAAGAAAGAAAAAGAAAAAGAGAAAGAAAGAAUAACCCACGGCAUAAGGGUUUCAAAGGUCCAAGUUCAUUUGGUUAGUCAAUUUAGUCCUCUUUUCUUGUAAUCUUUAUGUUUUUAGAAUCCCGGUGUUAAGUACUACCCGACUCAUGUCAAAAUUUUAGCAAUUAUUGAGUUUUUAAAUGUUGUUAAUGUUGAAUAAUUUUUGUAUUAGGGAUUAAAUUGAUAGAUUUUUAAGUUAGAAAUGAAAAAAAGAUUAAAUUGUAGAAUGAAUUGUAAAUUUUGAGUAAUAGGGACUAAAUUGUAAAAAAUUAAAAAUUUAUGGAUUUAAGUGAAAAUAGGGAGUUAAAUUUAGUUUAAAGUGGAAAUUGUAUGAAAAUAUAAAAUUAAUUGUGAAGAAUAAAAGUUAGUCUCGGUUUAGGGACUAAAUUGGAAUUUAGAAAAAUAUUGAAUAAAAAUUGGAAUAUUCAAUAUGAAAUUGAAUUGUGUUGUAUUGAUGAAUUUUAAUUGUUUUAAUUUCAUAGAUAACGUCGUACCGGAAUCCUCAACUAAAAAGGGGAAAGAUAAAGUUGACGUGGAAUAGCUCGGAAUUCUUGGUUUGUAUUUCUAUAAUCCGAAACUAGUUAUUAAUUGUUGUAUUUUUUAUUUAAUGCAUAUGGUAAUUGUUGAGGUUAGUAUUUGGCACUUUGACAUUGAAUUGAAUUAAAAUUUGAUUGAAUUGGUGUAAUUGAUAUAUAUAUUAUGAAUAAAUUGAUUAUUUGAAUUGAAAUGAAUAUAUAUGUGCAAAUAUGAUAAUUGAAUAUUUGUUGUAUUUGGAAAGUGAAAUUAAACCCUAUUAACUAUAUGGGCUGCGUUGGAUAUAGAUGGCAUGCUAUAGGAUUGGAAGAGUUCAGGGAUUUCUUCAACUUCGAGUCAAUGAGGCACUGGAUGCCAAUUUACUUCGGUUUAACCGAUGAAACACUGGGUGUCAAAUUUAUAUAGCGCUGGGUGCAGUUAUUACUUCGGAUAUAUCUGAUGAGGCACUAGGUGCCAAACUGGUAUGUUGGUUGGAUCCGUGUAUCCGUCCGAGUCCAAGUCGUGUUAAUAGGGGUAAUUAAAUAAAAUAGUACUAUGAUUGAUAUUGGAUGAUAUUGUAUGUGAAUGAAAAUGGGAUAGUGAAUUGAAACAUGAAAAUGAGACACAUGAAUUACGUAUUCAUGAAUUGGAUAUGGAUUGAAUAAUAUUAUUGUUUAAAUGAUAUAUAUAUAUUAAAUUGUGAAAAGCUACUAUAUAGCAAGUGAUGAGAUUUGAGAAUGGUAUGAAAUGAUGUAUUUAUGAUUUGAAUAUUGAAUGGCUAAUGCAAUUGUAUGAAUAAAUAUGGUCUUAAAUAUUCAAAUGUGCUUAUAAUUAAAAUAUGCAUAUUAUAUUAUAUUGUCUUUAAAUAUUUGGAUUAUAGAAAUACCACUGAGUUUUACUCAGCGUACGGUUUUGUUUUCUUUGCGCAGAUUAGGUACUUCAAUUUUGAUUGCCGAUUCAGCAUCCAACAACGCUCCCGAACUCAAACGUGGUGAUGAUUACUCUUUUGCGUCAGCAUGUACUUAGGGUGUCUAAAUAAUAGUUAUUUUGUGGAUUGAAUGUAAACGAGAUUAUAAGUUUAAUAAUGGUUGGUUUUAUACAUAUAAAUAUGCGUUUGUUUUUUAAGACAUAUUAUGGCAUGGUAAAUUGAACUAAAUCUAGAUAGGUGCAUGUGAAAUUAAUUCUAUGUUUAAGUGCUCAUGAACUAGGAAAAUUGAUUUGGAUUUGGUAUGUUUAUAAUUGGAUUAAAAUAAUGCUUUGAUGACUUGUUUUGAUGACAUGAAAUGUUUGAGAAUUCUGCCUGUUUGAUCGAUAAACUUUGGUAAUGCUUCGAAACUCUAUUCCGGUGACGGAUAUGGGUUAGGGGUGUUACACUAAAAUUGCAAUUUGACCAUUCACCUUAAUAAUACAAAAAAAAAAAGAGACGAUGACCCAUUAUAUAUAAGUGAGGAAAAAAGGACCAAAAUUGAAAAUUUACCAUUUUUGUAUGAUGAAAAAAGUAACACAUGUCAACAAAGAAGGUCCUUUGAGCUUUUGUAUAUAGUUAUACAGAUUUAUGUGUAGAGGCAAUUGAAUGUCAGCAUCUAACUUCAUCGCUUUGUGUAUCUACUGACUUUGUUUUCUCUUUUCAAUAACAAUAAUGGUAUGUAUUUGAUAAUGGAGUUUUAGUUUAGUUGAUAAUAUUAUGUAAGAAUAAAAAUAUUGAUACGAAUAUGUAUUUUUUAUUUAAAGAUGGGUGAUUAAAUAGUAAUAACAGAAAUUUUAUAAAAACCAAUAAUGUAGAAAGAGCAGUAAAUAGUAAUUAUAAAAAGAGUUGAGGGAGGGCAGGGAAAAUAAUUGAAAUACAAACAACACAAAAACGGAUAAGAACAUAAAACAAGCGCAUUGUGGGACAAAUUAAAUACAAAAUAUUAGGAACUUUAAAUUUUAAAGAUAAAGUAUUGAAAGCAAAAUGCUAAAAUUCGAUAAGUAGUUAUUUUCACACUUUUUCAUUCAUUUAUUUCUUUAUUAUGAACUACCAAGUGUGCUUAAAAAUUAUAUCACUACAAAUAUUAAAUUUCAACUUAUUUAAUAUUUUAAUAGGUUAUCAAACAAAAUUAAAUUUUCAUUUAUGUACAAUGUUUACCAUAUGAUAAUGAAACACAAAUUACAAGUGUAGUAGGAAUAAGAGUAGGGGUGGGUGAAUCCAUUGCCUUUUUACAUAUCACCAAUUUCACCUAUAUAUACGUGGAUUGUCAUCCGGACGGCAUGUCAACAUUUAAUUAAAACUUUAAUUUUUUAAUAUAUUUAUAUAUUUUUUUAAUAAUUUUAACUUUUAGAAAACUUUAAAUAUUCUUUUUGAAUUUUUUAAUUUUAAAAAAUUAUUUCAAUGUUGAUGUGUCAUCCACAUGAUAAUCUAAAAGAAAACGUUAAUUUUUUUUGAUCUAUUUUAGAGUGAUUUGAUAAAAAAAAUUAAAAUUAAAUGAGGAACUAAAAUAAUUUUUUGUAAAAUUAGAAAACAAAUAAAUGAUUAUGCUAACUUAAAAUAUAUUUAAAAUUGAGUCCCUAAAAUUGAGAGGCGGUGUGAGGUUAGGUGAUCUAGCCAGCAAGCGUUGCAUCAUCGUACGCGUUAAAAACAAAACAUGUGAUGCUUGGUCGGCAUCUAAUUAGUGCAACUCAGUAUUUGAUACCCUAAACAAGAAUAUAAUGUUAAUGGUCAGAUUUUAGUUUUAAGUAAAUGACCUGUAAUUCCUUUAAAUUAUUUUCUUGGAGAACCAACUAUGAACACAUGCUUGUCUAUAAAAAGAAUAGAUAUAUCUACAAUUAACAGUUUCUUCCACAAAACUUGACACUGUUUACUAUUAUUUAUUGUUUUUAUAUGUUAAUUUUAAAAGAUAAUAUUUUUAAUAUCGGUGUAGUGGUGUGAUAAAAUCUAUUAAACAUUACUUCUUCUUUUUUAAUUUUUGAAUAAGAUUUAUAAUCUAAUUCAUUAACAAAUAAAAAAAUUGAGUAUCUAAAAUUCCAAUUUCAGUAAAAGAUUAUUAAUUAUUAAAUUUUAUCAGAUAUCAGUAAAAAAAUUAAUAUUUAGAUUAUAUUUAUACAAAAAAAUCUAAUAAAAAAUUGAGUUAUAGGUAAAAUAAUAAAUUUUCUUCAAGCUUAGGUUCAAACCUUCAUGCUUAAACAUAUUAUAUCAAUAUUCAAUUCUUUAUUAAAAAGGAUUUUUAAGUAAUUUCUAAAUUGAGUUGGUGUCGAGUUGAUUUGAUUUACGACACAAGCUUAGUCAACCUCAUUAUAUAAAUAUAGAUAUAGCCAAUGUUUUAAGAAUUGGAUCAAUGGUUGAAUCAAUUUGAUUACCAGACUUGGUUCAAUCGGUUUGACCAUUAAUUCAACAAUAAUUAAAUAAAGAAUUAAAAAAUCAUAGAAAUUAAAAAUUUUAAAAUUUUAAAAACCGGUUUGAUCGGUUCAAUCUUCAAUUUUUUUUCUUUCAAUUUUCAUUUUUUACCCAUUUCAAAUACUUUAUUCAAAGACCAAUUCGAUCCUUUGAUCUGAAUUGAUGUAUUAAUUGAUUUUCAACUCAACCCAUGGGUUCAAUUUGAAUUAACAACAUUAUAAUGCUUACUUGAUAUGAAUGUCUCAACUUCUAAAAGCAAAAUCAAAGGCAUCUAAGAAAGUAGUAAUUGAUAGAAUCUCUGAAACCAAAUUGAAUUCUUUUUAUUUGCACUUUUCUCGUUAAAACUUGUCCUAUGGCCAUUUGGUUCUGAUUUUUGUUUAAAAGAAUCUUAAUUAAAUUUAAAUGUAAAAACAUUUUUAUUAUUUUAUGUUAAUUUUAAGUUGUUUGUUAGUUGCAUGUUAAUAUGUAAUUCGUUACACAGUUUAGAACCAUUUCCUAUAAUUACGAGGCCUUGUCUAAAGAAUAAUUUAUUAUGAAUCAACAAUUUAAGUUGUGAUUUAGGUCUAAGUCGUUUACUUAAUUACAACCUCAAUCCUAUAUUUCAACUAAGAUCACUCUCCUCUAAAAUUUUCCUUAUAAAAGCUUAGUUACAAACAAGUAUUUUGCACUAAAAAAGAAAUUCUUCCCAUGAAUAAAAUAAGUGCUCUAUCUAAUUUCUACAUCACAAAAUAAAACAAAUCUUUAAUUAACAGGCAUUUUUUACUUGUAAUCCUCUAAAUAGUGUACUCGAAAUAUUCCUUAGUAGUUGCACUUCAAUUGGUCUUCUAUAAGACAUGAAAAAAGUAAAAAAAAAUAUUUAACAUUUGAACUUCUAUACAAAAGAAUCUCUUAGAACAUGAUAAGUGAAUUGUACUAGAACUCUUGGAAUUAUGUCCCAAAAUUGAUAUUCGUCAUAAUUCAAUUUAGCUAAUUGUUGCUCAAAGUCCUCGUAAAGUUGUAAGAAAAUAUAAUCACAAUAUUUGAGUUAAAAUAUGCGGGGAUAUAUGGCAAGUUGCUGAACUAUCCAGUUGCAAAGUGCGUUGAAUUGAUGGUGCAACUGAACUGUGCAGGGGUUUACUUAGCAAGAGGGUAUUGAUUACCAUGCCACAUUUUCUCCAAUUGCCAAACAAGUCACGGUUCACACUGUCAUUGCCCUUGCUGCUCACCAUGGAUGGCCAUUGUUUCGAAUGGAUGCUUACGAUGCUUUUUUACAAGGUGACUUACAUGAGGAAGUGUACAUGUUGCUUCCUCCCGGUUUUCGUACUCAGGGGGAGACUCAGAUUUGUCAACUACGAAAAUCACUUUAUGGAUUGAAUCAAGCAUCAAGAGAGUGGAACAUGAAGCUUACAGAGGCUCUUUUACUUUAUGGCUAUUCACAAAGUAAGCAUGACUAUUCUCUUUUUAUUAAGAGAGUUGAUGAUCGAAUUGUUAUCAUGCUUAUAUAUGUUGAUGAUUUAUUGAUAACCGAAAAUGAUGGAAUGUUUAUUGAUGAGUUGAAACAAGUGUUAAAUCAGAGUUUCAAGAUGAAAGAUUUGGGAGAGCUUAAGUAUUUUCUUGGCAUUGAAAUUUUCCGGUUAGGGAAUUGGGUUGUAUUGUAUCAAAGAAAGUAUGCUCUUGAAUUGAUUUCAGAUAUGGGGAUUAUUGGAGGGAAAGUAGCUGUUACCCCUUUAGAACAAAAUCAAAAGUUAACUUCCGUUGAAUAUAAUGAAACAAUACAAGUCAAUCACGGUGAUGAAAUGUUAUCAGAUGUACAAAUGUAUCAACUGUUGCGGAAGCGACGAUAAUAUUAAUAACAAUAUUAUCAGAAAUAUUUAGAUAAUUAUUAUGCCAACAAUUAUACUAAGAAAAUUCCCAGUUAAAUUGGAGGGGUCACAAAUGGUCCCGCUUAAAACCCAACAACUAGACAGAACUCACUUAGAUAUUUAUAGCAAUAAUAACUAAAUAAAUAUAACCAACAUAAAGCUAUUAAAUAUAAGCAAACAAAUAAGAAAUAAAAUACCAUAGAUUUAACGAGGUUCGGCCAAUUUAGCUUAGUCCUCGGACACUACCAAAUUAAUAUUUCUUCUAGAAAUAUUACAAAGGAGAAGAUUUUGGGAUAAUACAACCAAAGGGAGAGGGGUUCUAUAUAUAACAAACCAAACCACCUCCCUUUCUAUCUUUUCCUAAUGUGGGAUAUUGCCAAUAUUCAACAAAUCUCCACCUUGGUGAUAUUCCACAUCUUCGAACAUCUUCUCAUAACACAAACUUCAAUAGUGUCUUCAAAUUUGCGACCAAUCGCCUUCUUCCCUUUUGGUAGUUGUGCCAGCUUCCACGUCUUGUUUUUCUCUAGAGAUUGCAUUUCCUCUUCCAUUGCACCUAACCAUCUAUUAUUCUCUAAACUCUGAAUGGCUUCGGUGUAAGUGGAUGGAAUAUUAUCAACAACUGGAAGUGCAUAAGCUACCAUGUCAGUGAAACGAACAGGUUUCUGAAUUUCUCGUCUCUGCCUUCUGACUGCAAUUGGCUCUGAUUGCUGUUGAGGUUCUUGGGUAGAAACCUCUUCCUCAUCUGACUCUGCAUCUGCCAAUGAAGAAUCACUAGUGGUACCUUUUGCUGGAAUUACCACACUCUGCUCAAACUCCACCUACUGCGGAGUACACUCCACCUGCUGCGAAGUACUACUCACUCCUUCUGGAUUUACCUUAUUCAACAUGGCAGAUUCAUGAAAGGUAACAUCCCUACUGAUUAUCGUCUUCUUUGCCUCUAGACACCACAAACGAUAUCCCUUAACACCAGCAUUGAAGCCCAUGAAUAGAGCCUUCUUUGCUCUUGGAUCUAACUUUGAUUCUUUCACAUGAUAAUAUGCAAUAGAACCAAAAAUGCGCAAGGUGUCAUAAUCAGUAGCAGGUUUUCCAUACCAUUUCUCCAAAGGAGUCUUGCCAUUUAUAGCAGAUGAUGGCAAAUGAUUGAUGAGAUGUUGAGCGUACGUCACAGCCUCAGUCCAAAACUUUCUAUCUAAUCCAGCAUUAGAUAACAUACAUCGAACUUUCUCCACAAGCGUUCGAUUCAUACGCUCUGCCACCCCAUUCUGUUGCGGUGUUCCACCUACGGUGAAGUGCCUUACUAUGCCACAAUCUUGGCAUAUCUUCAGGAAAAGAUCGCUUUUAUAUUCUCCACCGUUGUCUGAUCGGAGAACCUUAAUCUUCCUUCCUGUCUGAUUUUCAACUUUAGUUUUCCACUUAAGGAAAACUUCAAGCACCUCAUCUUUGUUCUUCAUAGGAAACACCCAAACUCGUCUGGAAAAAUCAUCAAUAAAGGUGACAAAAUAACGUCUUCCUCCAAGUGAUGGAGUCUUGGACGGUCCCCAUACAUCAGAAUGCACAUAAUCCAGAAUACCUUUAGUAUUGUGAAUCCCAGUGCCAAAUUUCACCCUUCGUUGUUUUCCCAGAACACAAUGCUCGCAAAAUUCAAGUUUGCAAGUCUUUGUACCUUUCAAUAAUCCUUGCUUGGCUAGAGUUUGCAAGGAUUUUUCACCAGCAUGGCCCAAACGCAUAUGCCACAGCUGUGUUGCCUCAGCGUCCUUCUUGGUACUCGUAAUUGCUGCUGCUGUUGUCCCGACCACUGUACUACCUUGGUAGUAAUACAGAUUGUUCUUUCUUAUGCCUUUCAACAUCACCAAUGCUCCUGAAGUUGCUUUAAGAACUCCAUCUCGUAUUGUCACAACUAGGCCUUUAGAUUCUAACGACCCCAAAGAGAUGAGAUUCUUCUUCAACUUUGGGACAUAUCGUACAUCCCGCAAAAUUCUAGUAGAUCCAUCAUGACUCCUCAGUUUAAUUGAACCUAUCCCGGCUAUUUUACAUGUGUUAUCAUUACCCAUGUAAACAACCCCUUCAUCUAGUUUUUGAAAUUCAAAGAACCAUUCCCGAAUGGGACACAUAUGAUAGGAACAACCAGAAUCCAUGAUCCACUCAUCUGCAUAUAAUGUUGAAGAUGUCAUACUAAGAGAAAAGUCUGACUCUGCUUCACUAUUGCAUUCUGCAACAUUUGCAUCUUGCGGAGUCUUCCCUUUUUUCUUCAAUUUUGGACAAUCUUUCUUCCAAUGUCCUUUUUCUUUGCAAAAAAAAACAUUCAUCUUUGGCAACAGCUCGACCUUUGGACUUUCUUCUCUUCCCCUUAGACUGACUUUGCUGACGACCUCUUGUUACCAAUGCUUCCACUGCUGCUUCACCUGAACCUUUCAACUUAUCCUUUCGGCGUAGUUCAUAGCUAUACAAUGCAGCAGUUACUUCAUUGAAAGUUACUUCCGAUUUUCCAUGAAGUAGAGUAGUUUCAAGGUACUCAAACUCCUCAAGAAGCGAUCCCAACAACAUUAACGCCAAGUCUUCGUCUUCAAAAGUCACAUCCAAAUUCAACAAAUCAGCCACCAGCUGAUUAAAAUUGGUAAUGUGCUCGUUCAUCGUGGUACCAGGAACAUAAUUGAAACGAAACAGUCUUUUCUUCAUAUGCAACUUAUUUUGACUGUUCUUCUUCAAGAAUUUCUCCUCCAAUGCUUUCCACAAUUUACUUGCAGAAGUCUCUUUACUGAAUGUAUACUUUUGCUCUCUGGAAAGACAUGAUCGAAUUGUACCACAUGCCAAUCGGUUGAUGGUCUUCCAUUCUUUAUCAUCAACCCCUUCUGGUUUUUCUUCCUCAAUGGCAAUAUCUAGACCUUGUUGAAAGAGGGCAUCUAAAAGCUCGCUUUGCCACAUGCCGAAAUGACCUGUUCCAUCAAAAAUUUCCACUGCAAAUCUCGUAUUUGCAGUUCCAACCCUCGACAAAAUGUACGAAGUGGAAGUUGUUGAUAUGGAUGGUUUUUCUUCUGUCAUUUUUGCCAUAGCUUCUAUUUAAUAGCCACCAAAUGCGGAAUACCCACAAGCUUUCGGAAAUGUUUCUGAUGUGUAAGAUCAAACUAAGCUGCAAACACAGAGCAUACUACAAAACCUUGGCUCUGAUACCAAUUGUUGCGGAAGCGACGAUAAUAUUAAUAACAAUAUUAUCAGAAAUAUUUAGAUAAUUAUUAUGCCAACAAUUAUACUAAGAAAAUUCCCAGUUAAAUUGGAGGGGUCACAAAUGGUCCCGCUUAAAACCCAACAACUAGACAGAACUCACUUAGAUAUUUAUAGCAAUAAUAACUAAAUAAAUAUAACCAACAUAAAGCUAUUAAAUAUAAGCAAACAAAUAAGAAAUAAAAUACCAGAGGUUUAACGAGGUUCGGCCAAUUUAGCUUACGUCCUCGGACACUACCAAAUUAAUAUUUCUUCUAGAAAUAUUACAAAGGAGAAGAUUUUGGGAUAAUACAACCAAAGGGAGAGGGGUUCUAUAUAUAACAAACCAAACCACCUCCCUUUCUAUCUUUUCCUAAUGUGGGAUAUUGCCAAUAUUCAACAUCAACAACUUAUUGGGAGAUUGUUGUACUUGACUCACACAAGGCUAGAUAUUGCUUUUGCAAUUCAACACUCAAGUUAGUUCAUGCAACGACCAAAAAAGUCACACUAUGAGGCAGCACUAUGAAUAGUAAGAUAUGUGAAGAAAGAUCUCAGGAGAGGGUUGUUUUUUCUGGUAAAUGGAUCCACACAAUUAAUAGCAUAUUGUGACUUGGAUUGGGCAUCUUGUCCAAUAUUGAGAAAGUCAAUUACAUGAUUUUGUGUUAAAUUGGGAGAUUCAUUGAUCUCGUGGAAAAAAAAACCAUCUCAAGGUCAUCAGCUGAGGCCAAAUACAAAAGCAUGGCCUUGACAAUAUUUGAAAUUGUAUGGUUGAGAAGGUUAUUAGACAAGCUUGGUGUUAAAGACAGGGAACCAACAACGUUAUUCUGGAAUAAUAAAGCAGCAAUUCAAAUAGCAAAUAAUCUUGUCUUUCACGAGAGAACAAAACAUAUAGAAAUUGAUUGUCUCUUUGUGAGAGAAAAAAUACAAAGAGGGUUGGUUCACACUGAGUAUGUGUCAACAAAAGAUCAACUUGCAUAUUUUCUAACAAAAGGACUUGGAUUCAUAGCAUGAACACUUAGUUGGCAAGUUAGGCAUGAAAGAUUUAUUUCACUCUCACCCACCAACUUGAAGGGGAGUGUGGAAGUUGUAAAUAUGAUUAGGCAAUUAUUAAGUUUAUUCAUUAAACUAUUAGUAGAAUGGUGUAUAUUAAUCAACUAUUGUAAGCUUAUUGAAUUGAAUCGAGUAAGAAAUUCUUUUACUCUUGAAUCAAUUGUUUUCCUAAUUCAAUCGAUUGUUCUCUUUGUUUAAUAGAUUAUUCUCUCAUUUCAAUCGAUUGUUUUCUUGUUUUAAUCCUCAGCCACCUCGAUAGGUAGGUAAAAUAAAUUAUAAUUUUAUUUUAAAUAUAAUAUAUAUUCUAAAAUUAAAAUAUUACUAUUACAUAGAAGUAACUUUUUGGACUUAUAUACAAGUGUGUUUGAAAAGUCAUAUGUAAAUUGGAUUUCAGUAUAAUGAUUAGUAACUAUUCACUUAAUUACCCCCAAUUCUCACAUUCUCUUAAAAAUUAAAAAUUGUAAUUAAAGUACCCUAAUUAAACUUGAUUAAAUAAACUCCUUAAUUAUAAUAAUUACUAAAAACAUAUUAUAUAUAAUUACAAAUAAUUACACGUAAGUAACAAAAUUAAUGUUGCUAUAAUUAAACAAUAUUCAUCGUAUUUUUUAGGGCUUCAAUUAUGGUCAUGAUGUAUCUUAUCUGUUUCUCUGCAUGAUUACCGAUUAAGUUGUGAAAUUUUCAUUAUGUGUGAUGAUAAUUUCUUUUCAUAUAAUUAUACUAUCACACAAAUUAAAUCUACCAAUUCAUCUUAUGUUUUGGGAUAAAAUGAAACCAAUAAAUCUACUAUCCUAACUGCAUUACAUCUUCUCAUGAUUAUGGAUUCAAUUUGAAGUUCAAGAAUAUAUAUAAUUCUCCUAAUAAUAAUUUUUCUGGCCUUUCAAUUUUAUACAAAAUAAAUCAUUUUAACUUUCCGUUUAAGUUUUCGUCUUUUUUAUUCUGUCAAAUCAUCCCAAAAUAGAUGGAAAAAUUUAACUUUGUUAACUUUGCUGAUGUGGCAUACACGUUGAUUGCCACGUGGAUGACUACAUGUCAACAUUUAAUUGAAUUUUUAAAAUUUAAAAGAUAUAAAAAAUAUUUUUAAUGAUUUUAAUUUUAAAAAAUAUUUUGUUGAAUUUUUUAAAAUUUAAAAUUUAAUUAAAUGCUGAUGUAUCAUCCACGCGUAUGCCAUGUUAGAAAGUUAAAAAAAACAUUAACUUUGAUAGAAAAACAAAUUUAAAAGCUAAAAGAAGAGAAUCCUAGCUAAAAUAAGGAACCUAAUUAAAGUUAGGGAGGAUAAGGAUAAGAUAAUAAAAUAUGAGGAUGAUUAUAAUGUAUAAUUAGAGGGCAAAUUAAAAAAAGGAUUUGGGCUUAAAACUUGACAAAAUUGGCACACCCCAGUUGGGAAAACAACAAGAAGCAUGCUUUAUGAGUACAUUACGUCUUAAUAUCCAUUAAUUGUUGGCUGCUUAACCCACAAGUAAAAGCUUUGGAUAUAUGUAAAUUCCAUUUUUCUUUGCUAACGUUGUCGAGUUUCAGCGGUAAUCAUUUCUAAAUUGAUGCAAGUAACAAGCUUUCAUUACUUUUAUCUCACUAAUUCUCUUGAAUGAACAAAAUAACAGAUUUGAGUUUUAAAAAUAGGAUAAACAUGUAUAUAUAAUUAUAGCUGUCAUGAUUAUUUAUUAAUUUAUUGAAUGCAAUCUAUCUAAAGUUGAAAUAUACGUAAUUAUCAUACUAAUGAUGGGUUUGGAUGGGCGAUUGAGUGCGGUGCGUUGCGUUUAGCUUACUUUUUGUCUCACGCUACAGUAUCGCUACAGUAUCUAAUCUCACCACCACCACUGUUUUUACACUAACUGCAGGUAAACGCACUGUCCAUCCAAACUCACUCUAAAUCUCAAAUAAUUCAUACACAAUUUAUUUAGUCAAUGAACUCAUGUUCCUAAAUAUUGCAAAAUAGUUACACUAGAAUAGUGUCAAUCUUUAAUUUUAAGGUCGAAACUUAUUUUGGUAUAAUGUCAUUAAUUUUUAACGUUUGUAUUUUUUUUUUGUUAAUUUGAUUAUUUUUUUAGUUAAAUGUGACUUUCAAUUUUUUAGAAAGAGUCACAUUUGGUAUUCACUCUUUCAAAACGAGAUUCUUUUUUUUUAAUGGAACCAUACAAGGGAAAAAUAACAAACCCUCAUUAGAUGGUGAAGAGCAAGCUCUAUCAACACAAUAAAGGCUUUAGCCUCAGCAUCAAUAGAGCAUCAUGACACGCUGACAAUCGGCUUUGCCACAACUCAAGACGACAUAUCUGGAGUGAUUGCAAGCUCUUAAUACGAUAUGAAAAUUAACCUUGGAUGGUCCAAAGCGGCGAGCAAAAAUCGACAAAAGAAUCGAGUAUUCACCAAACUAGAGAGGACGACAACAAAAUCAACCCUAAAAUCACUAGUAAAAUUAAGGUUACCUGCGUAAGUAAGAAUAAAAAAUGUGCUACAAAAGCAGACAAAAACUUCUAAAACUAAAAACUUAUUAAACAAUGGAAAAAGAAACAAAAAAUAUAUAAACCUCAAGACAACAUGGGUCCAAAUCGACUCGUGAAGUCAUUUAUUAUUCUGAAAUACUCUCAAAACAAAAACAUAUUAAGAACUUGAAGAAGAGCCAUCCACUUUUCAAGAAAAAUUACUGGUAGCCAGUGGAGUUUUAGCAAACGACAAGCAUCGUCAUCUGUCCAUCACAACUUGUGAAGACAAUAAAGUACCCACAAAAUAGAUCUGCAAACUGAAAAGAGAGAAAAGAUGUGGAGUGAAUGAGAAGAAGAAAGAAAUAAAGGGUUGGUGGGAGGGAGAAAAAAGCAGGCGAUAGCCAGCCUGGAGGCUGGCACCACCGCUGGGCAAAACUAAAGAUAAGAAACAAAUGGCUUGGAGAAAAAAAUAGAAAAGAAUCUUUCAAAAGAGUUGAAUUAUUUUUUUAAUAGAAAAUACUGACUAAAACGUUAUAUUUUUAAACAUGGUAGCUGGCAUGGCAUAUCACAUGUAUCUCAUGCUAUUUUUCUGAACUUUUAUAUACUUUUUAAUUUUAAAUUAAUUGUUGAUAUGGCAAAUAAAACAAAUAGUGUCAUGUCAACAUGAAUUACACGUGGACUAUCAUGCAGGUUGCUAUGACAACAUCGUUUAAAAAAUAAUAAUGUUUUAGUCAGAAUUUUUAUUUAAAAAAAUUAACUCUUUUUGAAAGGUUAAUAAUUAAAUUUAUCUUAAAAAAAUUCAAAUUAACAAAAAAAUAUAAAUAUUAAUGUCUAAAUGUAACAUUAUGCCUUGUAUUUUCUUGUUAUUGCAUAUUAUUCUAUCUUAAUAUAGUCAUUCAAGUUUAUUACGUGAUAAAAUUUUCUACCUUCACUUGAUUGUAAUUAUAUCACAUAGGUUAUAUCAUUGAUUGUCUAUGGUGAUAUAUUUAAGUUGGAUUUCUAUAACAAUUAUCAACUAAUUUUAAGUUGAAUGUUAGAGAAAUUUGAGGGUGAUCUAUAAAAGUUGGGGUUGAAAUAUAGUUAGUAGGUGACCGCGAUGCCCACCACAACGUGCCGUUAGGGGAGGUUGCAUGUUGUUGUCUAAGUGUGGCAAAAGAUCCCAUGGUGGUUCUUGCAAACACUCAUCAAGCUGCAUAAUUGGUCACUAAUGGCUUUCGAUUGAAAAAAAUAAUAAUCAUUUCUACGUCUUUAUCUGUAAAAAUGGUCUGCUACUGCUAGCUAGCAUGUGAAAAUACGAAUGCUACAAAACACAGGCUGAUGAAGAAACAUUAUCAAUUUUGGGGCCAAGGAAUCCGACACAACAAUAAUCCCACUUUCUCGAGGGUUUGGCAAAGUUCAUUCUAACAAUCAAAUGUGCUAUUAUGUACUAUCUUUUAACAAUGACUCUUGUUCCUUUCUCCCACACUUCUCAAUGAUGCUUAAGGAUGUAAGGAUUGUGACCAAAUAUUGUGCCAUCAGUAAUUUAUGGAUAACAAUGAUUCAAUUUUUUUUUUUAUAAAAAAAGGUCAUAAUUAAUGUGUAUUCUUGUAGUUUUCUAAAAAUCAAAUUGAAUAUCACAACUUAUCUGAAUUAAAAAAAUUAACUAAAUAUAAUUAAAUAAUAUAAAUUCAAACUAAAAUAAAAUUGAAACGAAAUCCAAAUUGAAUAUUAGAGUUUAUCAUAUUUUAAUUUUUGUGAGUCGUAGGGAAAUCUAAAGGACCCCAAAUCUGAUCAUAUAUAUAAUUAGUAGUAGUAAUAGACAGCACAUGGCUGCCUUUAAGUAAAAAGAAGGGCAUGAAAGCCGUGUUCCCUCAGUGAAGGGAUUUCCUGUUCCAAUCAAACAUGCUUUGAUAUUGUUGGUAGAUCUCAAACAAUUACUAAUUACAUUUUGGAGUUAUUUGAAUGCUGAAUAAUCACGUUUGAUUCCUUAAAAAGAGCUAUAACACAUCCACAUACUCUUUGGGUCAGCCAUCCUCAUGUGAAUAAAAGGAACCCCCUAACUGUUCGUCAAGCAGAUGGGAAAAGUGUGGCCACUUAUUUGCUGGUAAGUCUACCAAACUUCUAAUUCCUGGUCGGUUAACCUUGUGGGGUUGCAAAUUGCCGAUGAUUAUGUUGAUUACAUAUAGAUUUCGAUAUCAUUUCAUUAUUUCAAGUGAUUGCAGAUGUUGAGAUUCGAAUUUUAAAUUUAAUAGAUAUUUUUUAAAGAUGAUUGUCUAAAUUAAUUUGGAUGCACCGAUUGAAUUCUAAUAUGAUGUGAAAUUUGGAAUUUGGUGAACCAUAAAGUUGAGAUGGUAUAAAAUUGAUGGGAUUUGUACUUUUGGGAGAUUGCACAAGAUUUUCAAAGAGAUUUUCCAAGGAAGAAAAAGGAAUAGUGUUUUAGGGGGUAUAGAAGGCAACAAGCAAGUUGAUUGAUGGAGACACAGAGAAUAUGUGGCUGUGGGCCUUAACUUUAUCUAUAUUUCAAUCUACACCAAUUGGGGGGUUAUGAUUUUGCCCAAAGACGUGCAGAUAAGAUCCAAUUUGUGCCUGACUGGCAUGCUGAUUUUUUUUUUUAACUUUCUUUUCUUACCAAACAAUUAAGGAUCAUUACAUCUUUUUCUUUACCAUAGAAAUAGGUGAUAUGGAUAAUAAUGAAACGUAAAGGAUUUAGCUAACCAGAUUUUUGGUUGUCAACUGGGUUGAUUUUUCGUUUUUGAUCAAUGGUUGAGGGUAAUUUUAAAUGGAGAUUGUGAGGCCUGAAAAAAAGGCUGAAAAGUAAGUCCAUUGACUGAGAAAAGCAAGGCGGCCUACCUAGCCCAACUGCACUCUAGCUUGUGCUUUUAGGAUUAGAGUAUGGACUGUUUGGGUUCUUAAAGUUGGGUCACAACCUAUUAUAUAGAGAUCAUAAGCAGGACAGGUUAAUUUUAAAGCCACAGCUUUUUGUCAUUUAAAAAAAAAAAAAAAAGGUCACAAAUGAAGAGUGUACAUGCCCUUUGUUUGACUUGCUUCAUAUUACCGUUCAUAUCGAUCUAGAAGGUAGAGUUUGAUUAAUUGAAUUUCAAUUAAAUAAAACUAAACACUUGUAAAGUUCUCCAUUCAAAGAUUUAAACAAUUGUAAAGUUUUCUGACAUCCCACCUUAGUUUAAGGAAAAGCCAUUUCCCUGGAUGACAUAUUACUAGUACCCAACGAUUCUAAUAUCAAACAUGGCGGUAGUGUUAUCGUUUAGGACAAUGAAACCAGCCUAAGGUACAUUGGCAUGGAUUUUUGUUAGAUUUAAGAGCCACACAAACAUGCAAUGUGAGCCACCAAGUUUGAGAUUUUUGCUCCCAAUAAGCACAACAAGUGGAGGCAAAGGGGCUUUGAUAUCAGAUUCUGGUUGCCACAUGGCAAAGCACUGGCCAAUUGGGCAUCCACUCUCCUAUCCAUUAUGAUAAACCCCCUGGAAUACAUUAACAGAUUUUAAUAUCCUUGUCUGCCACAAAAACCCCCUCAAUUCCCCCACCUCAUUGUAGGCAAAAUGGCCUCUGUUUGUGCUUCUUCUGCCAUUGCAGCCGUUGCCAUCUCAUCCCCCAGGCAAGCUCUCUUUCCCUUAUUAUUAUCAACCUAUUUUCGAACAAUAUAAACCUAUGUUAUUAAGAAUGAAAGUGAGUGUGGGGAUAUCUAAUUAUGUGCCGACAUGAAUGUCAGAAGAAAAAUAGUAACACAGUUAACCAUGCUAAAUGUCUGCACAUGUAAGUGUAUUAGAAAUGAUUAACUGGUAGUUAACCAUUUAUAAGUGAUCAUGCUACACUGAUCGGGUAGGAAUUUUCCAGCUAUUUACAUGUGAUAGAAUUCUUUGGUUAAAAUGGUGUAAACAAAAACUAGAAAUAAUAGUUGAGGCGAUCAGGUUAUGAUGCGUAAGAAAUGUUUACAGUUCCCAGAGGAGUGGAUCAGUAGUGAGGACAACAAAGGCUUCUUUCCUUACAGGGAAGAAACUUCGAUCAGUCAAAAAGUACACAAAACCAGCAGCAGCCCGAACAGUUCCGGUGUGUGCAGUGGCUGACCCCGACCGACCUCUUUGGUUCCCAGGCAGUACUCCUCCUCCAUGGCUCGAUGGCAGCCUCCCUGGAGACUUCGGUUUUGAUCCUCUAGGCCUUGGUAUAAUCAUGUUUCAUCCAUUGAAUUGAAUCAAGUACCUCACAAAGUUAAAAUCUUUUUUUUUCUGUGCGUGUGUGUGUGUGUGUGUGUGUAAUAUAGGGUUGAAUUUUAUUUUUUAUUUUUCACAGGAUCAGACCCUGAGACCUUGAGAUGGAACGUACAGGCAGAGCUCGUCCAUUGCAGAUGGGCAAUGUUAGGAGCCGCUGGGAUUUUCAUCCCAGAGUUCCUAACCAAAAUUGGCAUUUUAAACACUCCAUCAUGGUACUCUGCUGGAACCGAGGAAUACUUCACUGACACCACCACCCUCUUCAUCGUUGAGCUUAUUUUCAUCGGGUGGGCAGAAGGGAGAAGAUGGGCUGACAUUCUCAAGCCUGGGUGCGUAAACACCGACCCCAUCUUCCCUAACAACAAGCUCACGGGCACCGAUGUUGGGUACCCUGGUGGGCUGUGGUUCGAUCCUCUUGGUUGGGGAACUGGCUCCCCUGAGAAGAUCAAGGAAUUGAGGACUAAAGAGAUCAAGAAUGGUCGAUUGGCUAUGUUGGCGGUAAUGGGUGCUUGGUUCCAACACAUCUAUACUGGCACUGGACCCAUUGACAACCUUUUCGACCACCUCGCCGAUCCUGGUCACGCCACCAUUUUUGCUGUAAGUUCAUCCCCUCAAAAACCAAUUCCAUUUGUAGUGUUUAGUUUCAGUUUGGAUAGAUUAUUCAAUUUGAAUCGGUUUUGGUUGAAUUAUUAUUCAAGUAUAUUCUAUUUGGUUAUGUUUUUGAUUCAGAGGUUAAAGCUUUAGGAGUUAAAAUUUUAAUGCCAUAUAUAGAUGCUGUCAAUAAACACCUUUACUUUGAAUCAAAUUUGUUGUCUUCCUAAGGGUCGGACUAACUGGUGUUGGUUGUCCAUGUCAGGCUUUCACUCCCAAGUGAGACAGGAUUAAGAGACAACCUUUAAGAGCGAUUAAAAUGUUGGGAUGACAAUGAUGAUCAUACCAUUCCAUACGUUGGAAGAAGAGCGGAAGACUUGUAAUGUUGUGGGGGAAUGUUUGUAUUAGUAGAAACUGUAAUGCCUCUGUUUGUAUUGUAGAUGUUAUAGUG